CUGCUGCCUUCCGUAGGAGUUUGGACCGUGUCUCAGUUCCAAUGUGGGGGACCUUCCUCUCAGAACCCCUACUGAUCGUCGCCCCGGUGGGCCGUUACCCCGCCGGCAAGCUAAUCAGACGCAUCCCCAUCCUUUACCGGCCGAAGCCUUUGGUCAUGAAAAUAUGCAUCAACAUGACAACAUACGGUAUUAAUCCGCCUUUCGACGGGCUGUCCCAUAGUAAAGGGCAGGUUGGAUACGCGUUACUCACCCGUAGCGCCG
Molecule: ribosomal RNA, 261 nt
Filed under: uncultured bacterium
Lineage: Bacteria
Description: partial 16S ribosomal RNA
Source: RNAcentral